GACGAACGCUGGCGGCGUGCCUAAUACAUGCAAGUCGAACGCUUCUUUCCUCCCGAGUGCUUGCACUCAAUUGGAAAGAGGAGUGGCGGACGGGUGAGUAACACGUGGGUAACCUACCCAUCAGAGGGGGAUAACACUUGGAAACAGGUGCUAAUACCGCAUAACAGUUUAUGCCGCAUGGCAUAAGAGUGAAGGGCGCUUUCGGGUGUCGCUGAUGGAUGGACCCGCGGUGCAUUAGCUAGUUGGUGAGGUAACGGCUCACCAAGGCCACGAUGCAUAGCCGACCUGAGAGGGUGAUCGGCCACACUGGGACUGAGACACGGCCCAGACUCCUACGGGAGGCAGCAGUAGGGAAUCUUCGGCAAUGGACGAAAGUCUGACCGAGCAACGCCGCGUGAGUGAAGAAGGUUUUCGGAUCGUAAAACUCUGUUGUUAGAGAAGAACAAGGACGUUAGUAACUGAACGUCCCCUGACGGUAUCUAACCAGAAAGACACGGCUAACUACGUG
RNAcentral lists this ribosomal RNA (508 nucleotides) under uncultured bacterium. Its description in RNAcentral is "partial 16S ribosomal RNA". It matches the Rfam family "Bacterial small subunit ribosomal RNA", at positions 28 to 507 of the family's 1533-position model. The record is from RNAcentral.